Long non-coding RNA from Odontomachus brunneus, 1867 nucleotides. RefSeq lists it as uncharacterized. NCBI's taxonomy places the organism in Eukaryota, Metazoa, Arthropoda, Insecta, Hymenoptera, Formicidae. The record is from RefSeq and is a predicted model, not a curated record. The transcript is spliced from 4 exons.
UUCAGUAUUAUCGGGAUCAAAUAGUUAUUAUCGCUUUUCACUCGCCAUUCGAGUUGCUACAUCAAAUGAAAUGGACUGAGGACCGCCUCUCGAGUGUAAAAGAUUUCCUUGCGUCGACCGACAUAUUAACGUAAAGGCGGUUCGUUUGGAAAUGGAACGUAACGUUCGGUUACAGAAGUAAACAAUAUGCGACGCGCGAGAGUACCACAAAUGUAAACUUAUCUCCAUCCAGCACCAACGGUCCUCGCUUAUGAAUGAGCGCCAGCCAAUCAAAACAUUCGAGACCUUCGACUUUACUGUUGUGUCUCGUGGACUUUUCCGGAUCAUUCAGUUCAGGAUCGGCGAGCGCGCGCGACACACACACUACGGACUAUGUGUAUCGGUGCAUUAUUGAUUACUCCUCGCGGGUGAUUAAACUGUAUUCCUUGUGAGAUACUUAAUUAGUCUCUCGUCGGCAUCGCGUUAUUUAACACGUGCAUCUUCGAUCGAAUCGUGUCAGUGUCAGUGUCAGUGUCACGACGAAGGAUAUCGGAUCGAGAAGCCAGGACAGAGGACGUAGGACGUAGGACGCUGGGAUGUGAGCACCGAUACAUUAUCGUAUUUUCAAGAUUCCUCUUGAUGGAAGGCAGCACUGUCCUGACUCCGAAGAGUGGCUCGGCAGGAAUUCGCUCAAGCGGUCGACCACUUCAGCCAGAUGUUAAUUAGCGAUGCAGCCUUUAAUUGCAAACGUACCGAGCGCGCGAAAAUUUAGAGCCUCCUUUUCGGAGUGGUUCCGGAUAAGAGUGGAAGGAAAUGAACGCAGGACUUGCAGAGAAAGAGAGGAAAGUUCUCGAGCGGGGGAUGCGACCCCUCGCGGGUAGGGAUGCAUCACCGGGUGCACAACGAUUCGGCGUGUUGGUACGGGCGUCCCGCACUCGAGUGGAAGUACUAGAAUUGAAAAUCCAUUAUCUCUGUUUUUGCGCGAGGGCCGACGAAUAUUUACGCCCACGCUCCGAGAGCGAGUUUCUCAACGUGGCGAAAACAGGCGCGAUCUUCGCGCCGCAUUUCGUAACGUUAGCGUGAUAUCGAGCGCCGUCGUUGAAACGAUACAAGAUUACAGUUUAAUUGUUUGGAACGCUAAUCGAUUUUGCUGCGCAGAUUAAUGGUCAAUUUUGUUAGUCGUGUAUUGUACGCGUGGUCUCUGUUAAUAGUGGAAAAUAAAACAGCACGCAGUAAAUCACGAAACAGUAUAAGACAAUUACGUUAAUAUAUAAUGUAUAAAAAACAAAUAAAAUUGAACUUGUAUAAAGAUGUACGACUUAAUAUAUUUCAAUCUUCUAAAUAUAAGCCGCUUUCGAAGCGUUCUAAGAACGUGUUAGAACUGUUUCGAAAGUGGUGCUUUCGAGUUCAACUUAGGAAAAGAAUCGAUGAUUUGACUUUUAUGCUUACAAAGCAAUGUGUGAGGACAAAGAGAAAUGCGAGAGAAAUGGAUCAAAGCCUAGACUUAUAUCACUUUCAAAACAAGCAAUUUACAUGUAGUUGCUUUUGCAUAUAUAAUUGACAGUUAUGUGUGUGUGUAUAUGGUUGUUUAGAAUUAAUAGUUAACGACGACAUUUACUCGGACAUGGUGAGACGCGAAUACAGUUAUACCCGAGGGCGAAGGAGCGAUAAUUUAAAAACCCUGGCAGUGGCAACGAGUCGACGAAAGCGCUUCGGAAAUAUUGCGAGAUUAUUCACGACUACGACACUGCCAGAUUAUUCGCCGAAUCGGCGCAAGAUUAACGAUGUCGAGCGGAAGGGCACACCGCCGGGAAAAAUAACGGGUUACUCGAGCGAGGCAUAAAAGGAGAGAGAUAAAACGGCGAGUCGCAAUAUUGAAAAGCAUCGA